GAUGAACGCUGGCGGCGUGCCUAAUACAUGCAAGUCGAGCGAACGGACGAGAAGCUUGCUUUUCUGAUGUUAGCGGCGGACGGGUGAGUAACACGUGGAUAACCUACCUAUAAGACUGGGAUAACUUCGGGAAACCGGAGCUAAUACCGGAUAAUAUUUUGAACCGCAUGGUUCAAAAGUGAAAGACGGUCUUGCUGUCACUUAUAGAUGGAUCCGCGCUGCAUUAGCUAGUUGGUAAGGUAACGGCUUACCAAGGCAACGAUGCAUAGCCGACCUGAGAGGGUGAUCGGCCACACUGGAACUGAGACACGGUCCAGACUCCUACGGGAGGAAGCAGUAGGGAAUCUUCCGCAAUGGGCGAAAGCCUGACGGAGCAACGCCGCGUGAGUGAUGAAGGUCUUCGGAUCGUAAAACUCUGUUAUUAGGGAAGAACAUAUGUGUAAGUAACUGUGCACAUCUUGACAGUACCUAAUCAGAAAGCCACGGCUAACUACAUG
This 497-nucleotide ribosomal RNA is filed under the name uncultured bacterium. RNAcentral's name for it is "partial 16S ribosomal RNA". It matches the Rfam family "Bacterial small subunit ribosomal RNA", at positions 28 to 507 of the family's 1533-position model. The record is from RNAcentral.